GAGCUGUCGAAGGUGGGACUGGCGAUUGGGACGAAGUCGUAACAAGGUAGCCGUACCGGAAGGUGCGGCUGGAUCACCUCCUUU
Molecule: non-coding RNA, 84 nt
Organism: Streptomyces variegatus
Lineage: Bacteria; Bacillati; Actinomycetota; Actinomycetes; Kitasatosporales; Streptomycetaceae
Source: Rfam